Molecule: ribosomal RNA, 253 nt
Filed under: uncultured bacterium
Lineage: Bacteria
Description: partial 16S ribosomal RNA
Rfam family: Bacterial small subunit ribosomal RNA
Source: RNAcentral
UACGUAGGGGCCGAGCGUUGUCCGGAGUUACUGGGCGUAAGGCGCGCGCAGGCGGCUCGUCAAGCCUGACGUGAAAGCCCCCGGCUCAACCGGGGAGGGUCGUCGGGGACUGGCGGGCUUGAGGUCGGCAGGGGUUGGUGGAAUUCCCGGUGUAGUGGUGAAAUGCGUAGAGAUCGGGAGGAACACCCGUGGCGAAGGCGGCCAACUGGGCCGGACCUGACGCUGAGGCGCGAAGGCGUGGGGAGCGAACGGG